Molecule: ribosomal RNA, 1062 nt
Filed under: uncultured fungus
Lineage: Eukaryota; Fungi
Description: eukaryotic LSU rRNA
Rfam family: Eukaryotic large subunit ribosomal RNA (bases 473-1062)
Source: RNAcentral
GGAUCAUUAUAGAGUUUUCUAAACUCCCAACCCAUGUGAACUUACCUUUUGUUGCCUCGGCAGAAGUUAUAGGUCUUCUUAUAGCUGCUGCCGGUGGACCAUUAAACUCUUGUUAUUUUAUGUAAUCUGAGCGUCUUAUUUUAAUAAGUCAAAACUUUCAACAACGGAUCUCUUGGUUCUGGCAUCGAUGAAGAACGCAGCGAAAUGCGAUAAGUAAUGUGAAUUGCAGAAUUCAGUGAAUCAUCGAAUCUUUGAACGCACAUUGCGCCCAUUAGUAUUCUAGUGGGCAUGCCUGUUCGAGCGUCAUUUCAACCCUUAAGCCUAGCUUAGUGUUGGGAAUCUACUUCUCUUAGGAGUUGUAGUUCCUGAAAUACAACGGCGGAUUUGUAGUAUCCUCUGAGCGUAGUAAUUUUUUUCUCGCUUUUGUUAGGUGCUAUAACUCCCAGCCGCUAAACCCCCAAUUUUUUGUGGUUGACCUCGGAUCAGGUAGGAAUACCCGCUGAACUUAAGCAUAUCAAUAAGCGGAGGAAAAGAAACCAACAGGGAUUGCCUUAGUAACGGCGAGUGAAGCGGCAACAGCUCAAAUUUGAAAUCUGGCCCUUGGGUCCGAAUUGUAAUUUGUAGAGGAUGAUUUUGGUGCGGUAUCUUCCGAGUUCCUUGGAACAGGACGCCUUAGAGGGUGAGAGCCCCGUACGGUUGAAUGCCUAGCCUCUGUAAAUCUCCUUCGACGAGUCGAGUAGUUUGGGAAUGCUGCUCUAAAUGGGAGGUAAAUUUCUUCUAAAGCUAAAUAUUGGCCAGAGACCGAUAGCGCACAAGUAGAGUGAUCGAAAGAUGAAAAGCACUUUGAAAAGAGGGUUAAAUAGCACGUGAAAUUGUUGAAAGGGAAGGAUUUGUGACCAGACUUUUUCUGGGCGGAUCAUCCGGGGUUCUCUCCGGUGCACUUCGCCCAGUAAAGGCCAGCAUCGGUUUUCGGCGUGGGAUAAAAGCAGUAGGAAUGUGGCUCUCUACGGGGAGUGUUAUAGCCUAUUGUAUAAUACCGCGCUGGGGACCGAGGUUCGCGCU